RNAcentral lists this ribosomal RNA (217 nucleotides) under uncultured Lactobacillus sp. Its description in RNAcentral is "partial 16S ribosomal RNA". It matches the Rfam family "Bacterial small subunit ribosomal RNA", at positions 144 to 355 of the family's 1533-position model. Lineage: Bacteria; Bacillati; Bacillota; Bacilli; Lactobacillales; Lactobacillaceae. The record is from RNAcentral.
UAACACCUGGAAACAGAUGCUAAUACCGACAACAACAGAUGAUGCCUAUCAACUGUUUAAAAGAUGGUUCUGCUAUCACUCUUGGAUGGACCUGCGGUGCAUUAGCUAGUUGGUAGGGUAACGGCCUACCAAGGCGAUGAUGCAUAGCCGAGUUGAGAGACUGAUCGGCCACAUUGGGACUGAGACACGGCCCAAACUCCUACGGGAGGCAGCAGUC